AUCCAGCUGAUGAGUCCUGAAUAGGAUGGAGCGCGCUUCCUGGAU
RNAcentral lists this non-coding RNA (45 nucleotides) under Schistosoma mansoni. The record is from RNAcentral. Lineage: Eukaryota; Metazoa; Platyhelminthes; Trematoda; Strigeidida; Schistosomatidae.